CACUAGUGAUUCUCCUGGAAACGGGUGGUAAUGCCGGAUGCUCCAGUUGGAUGCAUGUCCUUCUGGGAAAGAUUUCAUCGGUAUGGGAUGGGGUCGCGUCCUAUCAGGUAGUCGGCGGGGUAACGGCCCACCGAGCCUACGACGGGUAGCCGGCCUGAGAGGGCGACCGGCCACAUUGGGACUGAGAUACGGCCCAGACUCCUACGGGAGGCAGCAGUGGGGAAUAUUGCACAAUGGGCGCAAGCCUGAUGCAGCGACGCCGCGUGCGGGAUGACGGCCUUCGGGUUGUAAACCGCUUUUGAUCGGGAGCAAGCCUUCGGGUGAGUGUACCUUUCGAAUAAGCACCGGCUAACUACGUGCCAGCAGCCGCGGUAAUACGUAGGGUGCAAGCGUUAUCCGGAAUUAUUGGGCGUAAAGGGCUCGUAGGCGGUUCGUCGCGUCCGGUGUGAAAGUCCAUCGCUUAACGGUGGAUCCGCGCCGGGUACGGGCGGGCUUGAGUGCGGUAGGGGAGACUGGAAUUCCCGGUGUAACGGUGGAAUGUGUAGAUAUCGGGAAGAACACCAAUCGAAUUC
RNAcentral lists this ribosomal RNA (572 nucleotides) under uncultured Bifidobacterium sp. RNAcentral's name for it is "bacterial SSU rRNA". It matches the Rfam family "Bacterial small subunit ribosomal RNA", at positions 136 to 722 of the family's 1533-position model. The record is from RNAcentral. Lineage: Bacteria; Bacillati; Actinomycetota; Actinomycetes; Bifidobacteriales; Bifidobacteriaceae.